UAGAGAAAUAGGAGUCGAACCUAUAAUUAGGAGAUCAAAACUCCUAGUAAUCCCA
RNAcentral lists this transfer RNA (55 nucleotides) under Thoropa taophora. RNAcentral describes it as "partial tRNA-Gln". Lineage: Eukaryota; Metazoa; Chordata; Amphibia; Anura; Cycloramphidae. The record is from RNAcentral.